Long non-coding RNA from Pan troglodytes (chimpanzee), 388 nucleotides. RefSeq lists it as uncharacterized. NCBI's taxonomy places the organism in Eukaryota, Metazoa, Chordata, Mammalia, Primates, Hominidae. The record is from RefSeq and is a predicted model, not a curated record. The transcript has 3 exons.
GAGUGAGCAGCUCGUCGGGCACGGCAGGGGGCAGUCCACGGACCUCAACUGCCACCCCUGCCUCUGCCUCCGCCAUUGCAACCCUGGGACGGGGCAUCAGGUCUUGCCUGCCCAUUCCUGCAGCUUUCUGUCCUGCCUGCACCUCCCCAUCUCACACCAUCAUUGGCAUCGUCACAAGUAACCUCAGAAGGUGACAAGUAGAGACGGGGUUUCACCGUGUUAGCCAGGAUGGUCUCCAUCUCCUGACCUUGUGAUCCACCCGCCUUGGCCUCCCAAAGUGCUGGGAUUACAGGCGUAAGCCACCGCGCCCAGCAAGCAUUUUAUUUUUCUUAAAGGUCUCUCAAAUUUUGUGAGCUUCUGCUUCUACAAAGGUAGAAGUUACCUUCUA